UGAGUACGAGCUGCUACGGCAGCGAAGUGGGUGACGUCAAGCUUCCAAGAAAAGCCCUAUACCCGCUAAGGCAUGAUGGCCUGUACCCGAAACCGACACAGGUGGGGUGGUAGAGAAUACCGAGGGGCGCGAGGUAACUCUCUCUAAGGAACUCGGCAAAAUGGCCCCGUAACUUCGGGAGAAGGGGUGCCACCGCAAGGUGGUCGCAGUGAAGAGGCCCAGGCGACUGUUUACCAAAAACACAGGUCUCCGCUAAGUCGCAAGACGAUGUAUGGGGGCUGACGCCUGCCCAGUGCCGGAAGGUUAAGGAAGUUGGUCAGCGAAAGCGAAGCUAGCGACUGAAGCCCCGGUGAACGGCGGCCGUAACAAUAACGGUCCUAAGGUAGCGAAAUUCCUUGUCGGGUAAGUUCCGACCCGCACGAAAGGCGUAACGAUCUGGGCGCUGUCUCGGAGAGAGGCUCGGCGAAAUAGAAUUGUCUGUGAAGAUGCGGACUACGUGCACCCGGACAGAAAGACCCUAUGAAGCUUUACUGUAGCUUGGUAUUGUGCCCGGGCUCUGAAUGCGCAGGAUAGGUGGGAGGCUUUGAUCCAUGGCUUGCGGGUCAUGGUGAGCCAACGGUGAGAUACCACUCUUUCAGAGCUAGGGUUCUAACGGUCACCCGUUAUCCGGGGACCGGACAGUAUCUGGUGGGCAGUUUGACUGGGGCGGUCGCCUCCUAAAAGGUAACGGAGGCGCGCAAAGGUUUGCUCAGGCUGGUUGGAAAUCAGCCGACGAGUGUAAAAGCAGAAGCAAGCUUGACUGUGAGACCAACAAGUCGAACAGGGACGAAAGUCGGCUUUAGUGAUCCGACGGUUCUGAGUGGAAGGGCCGUCGCUCAACGGAUAAAAGUUACUCUAAGGAUAACAGGCUGAUCUCCCCCAAGAGUUCACAUCGACGGGGAGGUUUGGCACCUCGAUGUCGGCUCAUCGCAACCUGGGGCUGAAGUCGGUCCCAAGGGUUGGGCUGUUCGCCCAUUAAAGCGGUACGCGAGCUGGGUUCAGAACGUCGUGAGACAGUUCGGUCCAUAUCCGGUGCAUGCGCAGGAAUAUUGAGAGGAGUUCUCCCUAGUACGAGAGGACCGGGAGGAACGCACCUCUGGUGUACCAGUUAUUGUGCCAACGGUAAACGCUGGGUAGCCAUGUGCGGAGAGGAUAACCGCUGAAAGCAUCUAAGUGGGAAGCCCACCUCAAGAUGAGUAUUCCCAUGGCAUAAGCCAGUAAGGUCACGGGAAGAACACCCGUUGAUAGGCUCUACGUGGAAGCGCAGUAAUGCGUGAAGCGGAGGAGUACUAAUAGACCGAGGGCUUGACC
RNAcentral lists this ribosomal RNA (1350 nucleotides) under metagenome. Its description in RNAcentral is "bacterial LSU rRNA". It matches the Rfam family "Bacterial large subunit ribosomal RNA", at positions 1564 to 2925 of the family's 2925-position model. The record is from RNAcentral.